Molecule: non-coding RNA, 1164 nt
Organism: Macaca mulatta (Rhesus monkey)
Lineage: Eukaryota; Metazoa; Chordata; Mammalia; Primates; Cercopithecidae
Source: RefSeq, a predicted model, not a curated record
ACUGACACAGAAGCCAGGACCAAAGGACUCAGUGUGAGAGCCUCCUGUGAGUAUGCUGGGGCCUCUGAGAAAACCACAAGCCCGGGUACGGGACCUGCACUUACAGACAGAGAACCCAACAGCCUCUAUGGUAGUCCCCAGAGAAUCUAUUUCUCAUAGCUACAGGGCUGUUUCCAAAACCAAACACAAAGCAUAACUCUGCGGGGUGUGGAUGCACAGGCAGAAUUGGCGGCAUCUCUGGGUUUGAUGGGAAAGCCGGGCAUGGAUCUGGAAGGAGCGGGACCCCGGCACCGGACAGAGGGACGUCUGACUGGACUCAGAUGAAGAUGACUUUCGCUGGGAAACAGUUCUGGCUGAUUGCGCCAGGCCCUUGCAGAGACUGAACAAGCUAGCCAUGAGACGCGGAGACCAUGCAACCUGAGCUCCCCAUCGCAAACAAGGAACUACCAGGCCCUCCAGGCCGAAUGCUGAGUGUGCACAGCAACCCUCUCUCGCCAGGCAGAGACGGGGCUUGCCCAGGCCUGUGAAGCACACGGACGCUGCACGGGUACAUGAUGCAGCUGCUCUGCCACUGGUGCCUCCCCUACUUCGAUCCACACCCAGACUCGGGGGAGCUCCUUAUGAGCCACUGACUGACGGAGAAAAAGCUGGGCUUGGUUUACAGGUGCUUCUCCUGCUGGGCUGGCCGCUGCUGGCACUGCAGAGUGUGGCUCUUGAGGACAGUGGGGAUUACAUCUCCCAGCAGGCAGACCUCCCAGCUGGACAUCUGAUUUCCACUUUAUCAGGACUGAGAUGGCCAGGACAUAUCUACACGGAUCCCCAGGGUGAUUCCAGUAUUAAACCAGGGGAAUCUCAUGGAACCAAACCGCAGGGAGUCCAGUCGGCCUCUCAAGAGACUGAAGAUGGAAACAGAAAAGCCAAGCCCGAGACUGCUCGUCCCCCCUCAUUCUGGCGGCACACCCUCCCAUUCUGCUCUCCUCUCGUGGGCUCUGUUCUACUCCUGUCUGCACACACUCUUUCAGCUUCCCUGCAAGUGGCUCGCCUUGGUCCCCAGAGCAGUUAUGGCUCUGAGGAUGUUGUACCCUCAGAGUAACGUGGUCAUUUUGAGUACUGUUCUGCAGCUUACUUUUUUUUUUCCUAAUAAAUGAAUAUACUCUUGACAAA